Molecule: ribosomal RNA, 1388 nt
Filed under: uncultured organism
Description: bacterial SSU rRNA
Rfam family: Bacterial small subunit ribosomal RNA
Source: RNAcentral
UCGAGUGGCGGAUGGGUGAGUAACGCGUAAGUAAUCUGCCCUCAACCCUGGGAUAAGAUCGCGAAAGAGGUGCUGAUACCGGAUAGAACCAGGCCAUCGCAGGAUGGCGUGGUUAAAGGUGGCCUCUUAACAAUGCUAUUAGUUGGGGAUGAGCUUGCGUCCAAUUAGCUGGUUGGUGAGGUAAUGGCUCACCAAGGCGAUGAUUGGUAGCCGGCCUGAGAGGGUGAACGGCCACACUGGGACUGAGAUACGGCCCAGACUCCUACGGGAGGCAGCAGUAGGGAAUAUUGGGCAAUGGGCGAAAGCCUGACCCAGCAACGCCGCGUGAGUGAUGAAGCUUUUCGGAGUGUAAAACUCUUUUCCUAGGGAAGAAAUCGAUCAGGAAUAACACGACUGGUCGUUGACGGUACCUAGGGAAUAAGCCCCGGCUAACUCCGUGCCAGCAGCCGCGGUAAUACGGAGGGGGCGAGCGUUGUUCGGAUUUACUGGGCGUAAAGCGCGAGUAGGCGGCCUUGCAAGUCGAAUGUGUAAGCUCACGGCUUAACCGUGGAAUUGCAUUCGAAACUGUAGGGCUUGAGGGCAGGAGGGGAGAGUGGAAUUCCCAGUGUAGCGGUGAAAUGCGUAGAUAUUGGGAGGAACACCAGAGGCGAAGGCGACUCUCUGGACUGCUACUGACGCUGAGUCGCGAAAGCAUGGGGAGCAAACAGGAUUAGAUACCCUGGUAGUCCAUGCUGUAAACGAUGGGUACUAGGUGUAGCGGGUAUGUACCCCUGCUGUGCCGAAGCUAACGCAUUAAGUACCCCGCCUGGGGAGUACGAUCGCAAGAUUGAAACUCAAAGGAAUUGACGGGGCCCCGCACAAGCGGUGGAGCAUGUGGUUUAAUUCGAGGCAACGCGAAGAACCUUACCUGGACUUGACAUGUUUCUGACCGGCAUCGAAAGAUGCCUUCCCUUCGGGGCAGAUUCACAGGUGCUGCAUGGCUGUCGUCAGCUCGUGUCGUGAGAUGUUGGGUUAAGUCCCGCAACGAGCGCAACCCCUACUCUUAGUUGCCAACGGGUAAUGCCGGGAACUCUAAGGGAACUGUCGGUGACAAACCGGAGGAAGGUGGGGAUGACGUCAAGUCCUCAUGGCCUUUAUGUCCAGGGCUACACACGUGCUACAAUGACCGGUACAAAGGGCUGCAAUACCGCGAGGUGGAGCGAAUCCCAAAAACCGGUCUAAGUUCGAAUUGGAGUCUGCAACUCGACUCCAUGAAGCCGGAAUCGCUAGUAAUCGCGGAUCAGCAUGCCGCGGUGAUACGUUCCCGGGGCUUGUACACACCGCCCGUCACACCACGAAAGUUGACUGCACUAGAAGUCGGUAAGCUAACAUUCGGGAGGCAGCCGCCC